RNAcentral lists this ribosomal RNA (116 nucleotides) under Atractosteus spatula (alligator gar). Lineage: Eukaryota; Metazoa; Chordata; Actinopteri; Semionotiformes; Lepisosteidae. The record is from RNAcentral. RNAcentral also lists the same sequence under 1 other name.
GCCAGCAGCCAUAUCACCCUGCAACUCACAACUGGCAGCCAACUGAAGCUCAGCAGGUGUGAGCCUGGGUACCUGGAUGGGAGACCUGCUGGGAAAAACUAAGGUUGCUGCUGGAA